CUCUCACUCGCGCAAAGCCACCAUCCCUUCUCUCAUCGUCUGCGUUGAUCCCCAGCUCGUGAGCGCCAUCUUCUUCCCUGACGUGUCGCGGGCGUCAAUCGACGAAUGGCCUCGUGCCCUAGCUGUUCCUCUUAACCAUUGGCUGCUGUUGGGCCGACGCUACAGCAUAGGCGUCGCCAUUUACCCCUCCGAGUCGUGCCUUAGAUUCCAUCACGACGCCGACUCCCGAUCCGCCGAUUUCCCCCUUUCUUCCUCAGCCAUCUCUGCACGGACACACCCCGAUGCCACCGCUGGCCAAGCUUCUUCUUUCCUUUCUCUAAGUCACCUCUCUCUUGCGGGGCGCAGCAACCCUCACUGCUGAAGUCGCCGAUCGUUUGGCACCAUCUGAGGUGUAGCCGUCGGUCUCCACCCUCUGGCCACAAGAAGAUCCGUACACGCGGUGACCCCAUCCCAUACCUGAUCGCCGACCACAGUGUUCAUUCGAGCGGCUCACUAAUUGUAGGUUCAAGGCUGCAGAAUCUUGGCGAUCACUGUUUUUCCUCCCUGCCUGAUCACCAGAAACUGUCUCCCUAUCAAUAUCCUGGCCGCCGAUGAUCCCUGGGGCAUAGUGGCAGCUGGGGGACAGAUCUGUAACUGUCGGAGAGGGUUGAGGUAACAAAUUAACCCUAGUAGCAGGUUCAGGUGUUUGAGAUGUUAGAUAUCUGAUUUGGGGUAUCUGUUUGGGUGGUUAGCAUCAUCAUCCAGCUCUGACCACCCAUUUCCAACAUCAAACUUCUCCAAUCGUGGGUUAGCAAUAGCACGAUCGAAUUUGGGUGAGUUGUUGGAUUGGUUUGAUUCAUUAUGUAGUAGUUUGAUAAUUAAGCGAUGGAUUGGUUAUUGGAGUAGGGAAAAAAAGAUUAGUGGAUGAGUAGAUAUUGAUAAAUAAGGAGUUAAACUAAUAUAAGGAAGAUGAUGAAUUUAAUUAGGUGAAACUAGUUUAACUCUGGUUGAGGUGGUUAAUCAGUAAUCGUAUUCGACUAAGGUUAUCGUAAAUAGGUUAGGGGAUUUGAUUUAGUUAUUUAACUUAUAAGUAAUUAUCUAAAUCCGUAUGUUAUGAUUUACAGGACUUUGAUUCGAGACAAGUGUCUCGACGUGGGAUCUAUAUGAUACAAUCUUCUUUUUGAGGCGGGUACCUUUGACUUAUCUCUUUUGAUAUUGUCAUUUUGAUAUACGUAGUAGGUUAUAUAUUAGUAGUAAUAAUUAUGUUUAUAUAUGCUUUGGUAUGUGACUACUUGAUAUCCGUAGUAUGUCCUUAUUGAUGUCUGUUUUGCAUUAUUGCUUAUGUCCUCUUGAUUCUUGCAUUGUGUACUUACAUAGUAACAUACAAUGCAUUACCGGAUACAGGUCUAGUUACUAGAUAUACUUGGCAUAUGUACCUAGUGUUAUUACUUGGCAUGUGUACCUAGGUUUAUUACUUGGCAUGUGUACCUAUGUUUACUAUCUGACAUAUGCACCUAGAUCAUUGUUAUGGACUCGGUUUUCCUUUUGGUACACAUUAUGAGGAGGUUGAUAUUUUCAGGAGUUACAUGCUUUAGCGUCAUGCACAAUUUUACAUGAUUGCAUGCUGAGAGAUUGUCGACUCUAUUGUUGUUGAACACAUCGCCAGUUACAUGAUCUGCAUAUACAACCACUCAUGGGUUAGUGGUAUAUCAAGUAGGGUGUGUGCAGUUUUCUCUGUCACGGCUCCGCUAGUACGCUCAUAGGUAAUGUGACUACAGCAUAGUAGCGGGCAGGGAUCCCUCCUCUUGACUAUGACAAAGGGAGAUGAGAGCUUUGACUCCCCCACUAUGUUUGGGGUAGGAGGAUAGGUGUACCUCGACAGCAUCCUGUCCAUUCGGUCACUCAAGAGAAGUGAUGGCAGAGUGCACAGUUGUCAUAGUCAUACCCACUCAGUCUCACCAUCGCGUAUGAGAUGGCUGACUGACGUCAGGGGUGGCCAUGUCAUUUGUAUCAUAUGCAUGAAUUACAUUUAUUACUUGUGAUUAUUGCAUUUUUGUACGCUACAUUUUGGUGGUUGCAUAUGAUUGACAUGCAUACAGGAGACAUUAUAUAUUGGUCUGAUGACCCUGCUACUGUUAGUGAGGUUCACACCCUUAUGUCAGGAUAAGAGGCUCUGGUUAGCAUAUAAAUCUGUCGUGUCGCUUGGAGUAUCUUAUCUGCAAGUCCCACUUCACAUCCGAGGACUGUUUCCGGUUUUACCUCUACUUUACUUGUCUUAUAUUUUUGGUGGACUUGAUGUUGUAUAAAUUUGACUUUGUUUUUGGUUUUGCUAUGUGGAGUUGUAAUUAUUUUUUUGUGGUUGUGUAAGCCUAGCCGAUUAAUAGUCUUUGUUGUUUCUGUU
This is a long non-coding RNA of Zingiber officinale, 2380 nucleotides long. RefSeq lists it as uncharacterized. The transcript has 2 exons. The record is from RefSeq and is a predicted model, not a curated record. NCBI's taxonomy places the organism in Eukaryota, Viridiplantae, Streptophyta, Magnoliopsida, Zingiberales, Zingiberaceae.